RNAcentral lists this ribosomal RNA (253 nucleotides) under uncultured bacterium. Its description in RNAcentral is "partial 16S ribosomal RNA". It matches the Rfam family "Bacterial small subunit ribosomal RNA", at positions 524 to 776 of the family's 1533-position model. The record is from RNAcentral.
UACGGAGGGUGCAAACGUUGCUCGGAAUUAUUGGGCGUAAAGCGCACGUAGGCGGCUUGUUAAGUCGGAUGUGAAAGCCCUAGGCUCAACCUAGGAAGUGCAUACGAAACUGGCGAGCUUGAAUAUGGAAGAGGGUCGCGGAAUUCCCGGUGUAGCGGUGAAAUGCGCAGAUAUCAGGAGGAACACCUAUUGCGAAGGCAGCUCGCUGGGACGUAACUGACGCUGAGACGCGAAAGCGUGGGGAGCAAACAGG